Molecule: ribosomal RNA, 1928 nt
Filed under: Spirorbis spirorbis
Lineage: Eukaryota; Metazoa; Annelida; Polychaeta; Sabellida; Serpulidae
Description: SSU rRNA
Rfam family: Eukaryotic small subunit ribosomal RNA
Source: RNAcentral
AACCUGGUUGAUCCUGCCAGUAGUCAUAUGCUUGUCUCAAAGCUUAAGCCAUGCACGUGUAAGUUCAAACUCUCGUACAGUGAAACCGCGAAUGGCUCAUUAAAUCAUACGUGAUUUGCAAGAUAAUAACUGACGGCGUCCUUCGGGGCCCAAAGAUGGAUAACUGUGGUAAUUCUAGAGCUAAUACAUGCAUUUCAGCCUCGAGGGCGCAAGCCUGACGGGUGCUCUUAUUAGACCAAGGCCAAGCCGUGCGGGGCAACUCGUGCGGUCGGUGUUAAGGUGACUCUGGAUAAUCUCAGCUGAUCGCAGAAUACCUGUAAUGGGUAGCGACGUAUCUUUUAAGCGUAUGCCCUAUCAUGUUGUUGGUAAGGUAAUGGCUUACCAAGCAAGCAACGGGUAGCGGGGAAUCAGGGUUCGAUUCCGGAGAGGGGGCCUGAGAAAUGGCCACCACAUCCAAGGAAGGCAGCAGGCGCGUAAAUUACCCAAUGCCGGCACGGCGAGGUAGUGACGAUAAAUAACAAUACGUGACUCUUUCGAGGCCACGUAAUUGGAAUGAGUUGAUUUUAAAUCCCUUGACGAGGAUCAAUUGGAGGGCAAGUCUGGUGCCAGCAGCCGCGGUAAUUCCAGCUCCAAUAGCAUAUAUUAAAGUUGCUGCAGUUAAAAAGCUCGUAGUUGGAUCUCGGGUGCCCGUAAGGGUUGAAUGUUCCUCCGGCGGUCGUGCUCACGCGCGAACUGCUGGUGGCAGCCCAAUUCUGCCGAUUUGUCGGGUCGCUUCUCGGAGUGGCUCGGCGACGUGUCAAAGCGCGAGCCCGUUGUCCUUAACCGGGUGGUGGGUGAGGUCGGUAAUUUUACCUUGAGUAAAUUAGAGUGUUCAAAGCAAGGCUCCUCGAAUAGUUGUGCAUGGAAUAAUGGAACAGGUCUCAGCGCCUUUCCGUUGGUCAAUGGUGUCAGAGAAAUGAUUGAAAGGGACUGCCGGGGGCAUCGGUAUGGCGGGGGGAGAGGUGAAAUUCUUGGAUCCUCGCCAGACCAACAAUAGCGAAAGCAUUUGCCAAGAAUGUCUUCAUUAAUCAAGAACGAAAGUCAGAGGCUCGAAGACGAUCAGAUACCGUCGUAGUUCUGACCAUAAACGAUGUCAGCUAUGUCUGCGCGGCAGUUGUAUUACAUGACGCUGCGCGGGCCCCCCGGGAAACCCGUAAGCAUACGGAUUCCGGGGGAAGUAUGAACGCAAGCUUGAAACUUAAAGAAAUUGACGGAAGGGCACCACCAGGAGUGGAGCCUGCGGCUUAAUUUGACUCAACACGGGGAAACUCACCCGGCCCGGACACUGUAAGGAUUGACAGAUUGAGAGCUCUUUCUCGAUUCAGUGGAUGGUGGUGCAUGGCCGUUCGUAGUUGGUGGAGUGAUUUGUCUGGUUAAUUCCGAUAACGAACGAGACUCUAGCUUGCUAAAUAGUGCUGGCGGUGCGGUUGCCCCUCGGGGUACGUGGCCGUUGGUCUUGUUGAAACUUCUUAGAAGGACUAGUGACUCUUAGUCACACGAGAUUGAGCAAUAACAGGUCUGUGAUGCCCUUAGAUGUUCGGGGCCGCACGCGCGCUACACUGAUACGGACAGCGGGUACCCUUCCUGGCCCUAGCGGGUUGGGCAAUCCGUUGAAUCUGUGUCGUGCUUGGGAUUGUGAAUUGUAAUUGUGGCACAUGAACGAGGAAUUCCCAGUAAGCAUAAUUCAUCAGAUUGUGUUGAUUACGUCCCUGCCCUUUGUACACACCGCCCGUCGCUACUACCGAUUGGAUGGCUUAGUGAGACCAGCGGAACGGUAGGCGAGUCGCUCUUCGGGGUGGCAAGCUGGCUGUGAAGCCGGUCAAACUUGACUGUCUAGAGGAAGUAAAAGUCGUAACAAGGUAUUCGUAGGUGAACCUGCGGGAGGAUCA